AAUGAGUACACUUUAAAUCCUUUAACAAGGACCAAUUGGAGGGCAAGUCUGGUGCCAGCAGCCGCGGUAAUUCCAGCUCCAAUAGCGUAUAUUAAAGUUGUUGCGGUUAAAAAGCUCGUAGUUGAAUCUGUGUGUCACAGUGUCGGUUCACCGCUCGCGGUGUCUAACUGGCAUUAUGUGGUACGUCCUACCGGUGGGCUUAGCUCCUUGCGGGCGGUCCAACUAAUCUCCCAUCGCGGUGCUCUUCACUGAGUGUCGAGGUGGGCCGGUACGUUUACUUUGAACAAAUUAGAGUGCUCAAAGCAGGCUACCUUCGCCUGAAUACUGCGUGCAUGGAAUAAUGGAAUAGGACCUCGGUUCUAUUUUGUUGGUUUUCGGAACCCCGAGGUAAUGAUUAAUAGGGACAGAUGGGGGCAUUCGUAUUGCGACGUUAGAGGUGAAAUUCUUGGAUCGUCGCAAGACGGACUAAAGCGAAAGCAUUUGCCAAAAAUGUUUUCAUUAAUCAAGAACGAAAGUUAGAGGUUCGAAGGCGAUCAGAUACCGCCCUAGUUCUAACCAUAAACGAUGCCAGCUAGCGAUCCGCCGAAGUUCCUCCGAUGACUCGGCGGGCAGCUUCCGGGAAACCAAAGCUUUUGGGUUCCGGGGGAAGUAUGGUUGCAAAGCUGAAACUUAAAGGAA
RNAcentral lists this ribosomal RNA (678 nucleotides) under Eucerinoda gayi. Its description in RNAcentral is "SSU rRNA". It matches the Rfam family "Eukaryotic small subunit ribosomal RNA", at positions 513 to 1152 of the family's 1831-position model. The record is from RNAcentral. Lineage: Eukaryota; Metazoa; Arthropoda; Insecta; Hymenoptera; Apidae.